This is a long non-coding RNA of Ictalurus punctatus (channel catfish), 541 nucleotides long. The record is from Ensembl. Lineage: Eukaryota; Metazoa; Chordata; Actinopteri; Siluriformes; Ictaluridae.
ACCUCUGAGGGUGUGCUGCGGUAUCUGGCACCAAGACGUUAGCAGCAGAUCCUUUAGGUCCUGUACGUUGCAAGGUGGGGUCUCCAUGGAUCAGACCUGUUUGGCCAGCACAUCCCACAGAUGAUAUAUGAUAUGAGAUAAUCAGUGUUAUUCACUCGGAUUGUUUUAAAGGUUAUAACAUGAGCAGUUUUGCCUCAAAUUGCCUCACAUUGAGUUAGAGGUUAUAACGUGAGCAGCUUUGCCUCAAAUUGCCUCAGAUUGUGUUUGAGGAUAUAACGUGAGCAGCUUUGCCUCAAAUUGCCUCAGAUUGUGCUAGAGGUUAUAACGUGAACAGUUUUGCCUCAAAUUGCCUCAGAUUGUGUUUGAGGUUAUAACGUGAACAGUUUUGCCUCAAAUUGCCUCAGAUUGUGCUAGAGGUUAUAACGUGAACAGUUUUGCCUCAAAUUGCCUCAGAUUGUGGUUGAGGUUAUAACGUGAACAGCUUUGCCUCAAAUUGCCUCAGAUUGUGUUUGAGGUUAUAACGUGAACAGCUUUGCCUCAA